UGGUGGUCCUCGUCAAACGGCUCUGUUGUUGUUGUGGGAGCUCAACUGAGGAGAUUUGAUUUACAAGACGAAGAAAUAAACCAUGAAUAUGACAAAAUACUUUACUAGAAAAGACGGAUUUGUAACAGUAAACAGUUCAGUUAGAGGAGGAAAAUCCCGAGCAUCUAAAACAUCUUUACCUGACUGAAAAGAAACGAUUAGAUGAAGAAGAACAGGAGAGAAAGAAGAAGAGAUGGAAAGAGAGAGCAGUGGAUGAAGAGGAGAAACUCAAACACAACACCUGACAUCUCUGCUCCCAGCUUUAUUGAAUGAACACACAGAAGAUAAUGAGAAGAUAAAGGAGGAGCUGAGAGGAUAAA
Paramisgurnus dabryanus is the source of this 359-nucleotide non-coding RNA. Lineage: Eukaryota; Metazoa; Chordata; Actinopteri; Cypriniformes; Cobitidae. The record is from RefSeq and is a predicted model, not a curated record.